RNAcentral lists this transfer RNA (62 nucleotides) under Ictidomys tridecemlineatus (thirteen-lined ground squirrel). Its description in RNAcentral is "Spermophilus tridecemlineatus (thirteen-lined ground squirrel) tRNA". It matches the Rfam family "tRNA", at positions 1 to 61 of the family's 71-position model. From Rfam's summary of the family: Transfer RNA (tRNA) molecules are approximately 80 nucleotides in length. Their secondary structure includes four short double-helical elements and three loops (D, anti-codon, and T loops). Lineage: Eukaryota; Metazoa; Chordata; Mammalia; Rodentia; Sciuridae. The record is from Rfam by way of RNAcentral.
GGGGUUGUAGUUCAGUGGUAGAGCACUUGUUUUGCACAUAUGAGACACUGGGUUCAACCCUC